Molecule: ribosomal RNA, 292 nt
Filed under: uncultured bacterium
Lineage: Bacteria
Description: partial 16S ribosomal RNA
Rfam family: Bacterial small subunit ribosomal RNA
Source: RNAcentral
GUGUCAGCAGCCGCGGUAAUACGGAGGAUGCAAGCGUUAUCCGGAAUUAUUGGGCGUAAAGCGUCCGCAGGUGGUUAAUCAAGUCUAUUGUCAAAGUGCGAGGCUAAACUUCGUAAAGGCGGUGGAAACUGGUUGACUAGAGUUUGGUAGGGGUAGAGGGAAUUCCCAGUGUAGCGGUGAAAUGCGUAGAUAUUGGGAAGAACACCGGUGGCGAAAGCGCUCUACUGGGCCUGAACUGACACUGAGGGACGAGAGCUAGGGGAGCGAAAGGGAUUAGAAACCCCCGUAGUCC